This 497-nucleotide ribosomal RNA is filed under the name uncultured bacterium. RNAcentral describes it as "partial 16S ribosomal RNA". It matches the Rfam family "Bacterial small subunit ribosomal RNA", at positions 28 to 507 of the family's 1533-position model. The record is from RNAcentral.
GAUGAGCGCUGGCGGCGUGCCUAAUACAUGCAAGUCGAGCGAACAGACGAGGAGCUUGCUCCUCUGACGUUAGCGGCGGACGGGUGAGUAACACGUGGAUAACCUACCUAUAAGACUGGGAUAACUUCGGGAAACCGGAGCUAAUACCGGAUAAUAUAUUGAACCGCAGGGUUCAAUAGUGAAAGACGGGUUUGCUGUCACUUAUAGAUGGAUCCGCGCCGCAUUAGCUAGUUGGUAAGGUAACGGCUUACCAAGGCAACGAUGCGUAGCCGACCUGAGAGGGUGAUCGGCCACACUGGAACUGAGACACGGUCCAGACUCCUACGGGAGGCAGCAGUAGGGAAUCUUCCGCAAUGGGCGAAAGCCUGACGGAGCAACGCCGCGUGAGUGAUGAAGGUCUUCGGAUCGUAAAACUCUGUUAUUAGGGAAGAACAAAUGUGUAAGUAACUAUGCACGUCUUGACGGUACCUAAUCAGAAAGCCACGGCUAACUACGUG